Molecule: ribosomal RNA, 491 nt
Filed under: uncultured bacterium
Lineage: Bacteria
Description: bacterial SSU rRNA
Rfam family: Bacterial small subunit ribosomal RNA
Source: RNAcentral
AGAGUUUGAUCAUGGCUCAGGAUAAACGCUGGCGGCGUGCAUAAAACAUGCAAGUCGAACGGACGGUCGCAAGACCGUCAGUGGCGAACGGCUGAGUAACACGUAAGUGACCUGCCCUUUAGUGGGGAAUAACUGCUCGAAAGAGUGGCUAAUACCGCAUGUGCUCAUCUUUUCGUUGGGGUGAGUAAAGCCGUAAGGCGCUAGAGGAUGGGCUUGCGGCCGAUUAGCUAGUUGGCGGGGUAAGGGCCCACCAAGGCGAUGAUCGGUAGCUGGUCUGAGAGGAUGAUCAGCCAGACUGGGACUGCGACACGGCCCAGACUCCUACGGGAGGCAGCAGUUAGGAAUUUUGCGCAAUGGACGAAAGUCUGACGCAGCAACGCCGCGUGGAGGACGAAGGCCCUCGGGUCGUAAACUCCUUUUGCACGGGAAGAUGGUGACGGUACCGUGCGAAUAAGCCCCGGCUAACUACGUGCCAGCCGCCGCGGUAAUUC